GGGAGGUACAAGUGGUUCCACUGUACCGUACACGAACGGGGUGGUUUUGUGUGCAGAGCAGCAGGGUCCCGCUUUCGGAAGGCUAUAGGAAGCUAUCGCACCGGCACGUCAGCUCAUUUCGUGUCGAAACGUGGUCGAAGUCACAUUGCUCUGCGGGGUGGGACGAUGUCACCUAGAGUGCCUACGUCGUCGUCGUUGGAUCUGUCCGUGCAAGGGAAGCAGCGGUGGUCAUGUCACCACAUCCAACCAGCCAACCAACCGGUAAAUAUUAGCCCAGCAAGCCCAUCUUUUGCUCAUCGAUCCGGGCACACGGACGGGCGGACGGACCCGCAACGCAUCAGCUUCACGUGCGCGCAACUGAGUGGACUGAGAAGAGGGUCCGUGACCGAUCUUGUUUGUGUAUUAACAGUACGGUUUGCGCAUCGAUCGUUCGGAUAGGUUGCCAUUAAGAAUAACCUGGGGGCGGCCACGUUUUCUGCGGGGUUGAAAAGAGUACAGAGUACGGUACAGGAAAGGGCUACGGGAUUCACAUCCCAAACGUGCGAUGAUGUAAGCGAUCAAUAGCUCAUUGUACGCAUAGUGCAGACACCUGUACGCAGUAGCUCUCUUCUCGGUGGUGAUGAUGGUUGCCCAGUUCGAUCGUACCAGGAUCGCAAUCGAAUAUGAAAAUAAAGAGAGCUAUCCGUCGACAGUAGGGAUAUAAUUCACUGUCAUGGAAUUGCUCUCUUUAUGUACAAUUCGAUAUUCAACGUGCAACGUGCCGGAGGUGUCAACGUUGCGUCAUUAAAGGGGGGGGGGUCGUCUUCAUCUCUCGCAUUGAUGGACCAUGCCAUGUGACCGCCAUAUGACGCAGAAGAAGAAUGCCGCAUUUAUUGCACCUCAAAUUCGAUAAAAAUCUAUUUCCUAAAUAGCAGGGUGGACAAAUGAUAAUGCAGCUUAAUGAUGACCUUAAUUUUAUUUCUCUUAAAAUGAAAACACACGUGCUCUCGUGCUCUCCAAUUAUUGUGUAGGUAUACGAUCGGCCAUUACUGUGACUUUCCUUCCCACGUGUACCGGGCAGCAAGAAGAAAAAGAAAAGAAAAAAAAAACACAGCAAACAACAAUAAAUUCAUAUUUUUCCCUGACUCGUUUAGUUCAACAAGUUUGUAGGCACUUAAAAUAUCAUUUAUUUCAACCACACACACUCUCGUUACGACGUGAGGGUACCCCUGGGGAGAGGUAUUACAAUGUGAGUUGAUUGUAUGGCAAAAAAAGAGAGAGAGAGAGACUACAAAAUAGGAUGGAACGGUGAGAUGGGGGAUGCAGGGGCGGCAGAAAGUCUCUUAUCAGGUGUGUGUGGUUGCAGUUGUUUGCCUCUAAUACCGGCACGAAAGUACAAUGAUUUAGCACGUCGUAGCAGUUGGAACAUGGCGGGAGAGAGAGAGGGAGAGAGAAAGAGAGAGCGGGGAACCCAUCAGGUGUUCCGAGGUGAUCAGAACAGGAGCGGCAUACGUGCGUUUGCUGGAUCGCUAGAUGUGUUAACGUGGCGCAAUAGGUAUCGAGAGUAGUCGCACUAUCGCACAUCUUAUCGCACAACACCGGCACUGGAUCGCCCCCUUACGAGGGGCACACAGAGAGAAAGCGGGAGGACAACUGUACUGCAGGUGCUUUAUCGAUUGCUGCCUU
Molecule: long non-coding RNA, 1665 nt
Organism: Anopheles coluzzii
Lineage: Eukaryota; Metazoa; Arthropoda; Insecta; Diptera; Culicidae
Exons: 2
Source: RefSeq, a predicted model, not a curated record